GAGGGUAUAGCUCAAUUGGUAGAGCGCAUGGUUAGUAUGCACAAGGUACUGGGUUCAAUUCCCCAGUGCCUCCU
Molecule: transfer RNA, 74 nt
Filed under: Camelus bactrianus (Bactrian camel)
Lineage: Eukaryota; Metazoa; Chordata; Mammalia; Artiodactyla; Camelidae
Also listed under: 1 other name
Rfam family: tRNA
About the family: Transfer RNA (tRNA) molecules are approximately 80 nucleotides in length. Their secondary structure includes four short double-helical elements and three loops (D, anti-codon, and T loops). Further hydrogen bonds mediate the characteristic L-shaped molecular structure. tRNAs have two regions of fundamental functional importance: the anti-codon, which is responsible for specific mRNA codon recognition, and the 3' end, to which the tRNAs corresponding amino acid is attached (by aminoacyl-tRNA synthetases). tRNAs cope with the degeneracy of the genetic code in two manners: having more than one tRNA (with a specific anti-codon) for a particular amino acid; and 'wobble' base-pairing, i.e. permitting non-standard base-pairing at the 3rd anti-codon position.
Source: Rfam by way of RNAcentral